This 71-nucleotide transfer RNA is filed under the name Loxodonta africana (African savanna elephant). It matches the Rfam family "tRNA". From Rfam's summary of the family: Transfer RNA (tRNA) molecules are approximately 80 nucleotides in length. Their secondary structure includes four short double-helical elements and three loops (D, anti-codon, and T loops). Further hydrogen bonds mediate the characteristic L-shaped molecular structure. tRNAs have two regions of fundamental functional importance: the anti-codon, which is responsible for specific mRNA codon recognition, and the 3' end, to which the tRNAs corresponding amino acid is attached (by aminoacyl-tRNA synthetases). tRNAs cope with the degeneracy of the genetic code in two manners: having more than one tRNA (with a specific anti-codon) for a particular amino acid; and 'wobble' base-pairing, i.e. permitting non-standard base-pairing at the 3rd anti-codon position. The record is from Rfam by way of RNAcentral. Lineage: Eukaryota; Metazoa; Chordata; Mammalia; Proboscidea; Elephantidae.
GCAGUGGCGGUUCAGUGGUAGAAUCCCUGCCUUCCAUGCAGGAGACCCGGGUUCGAUUCUUGGCCAAUGCA